GUGGAGGGGGCGGGGUGGAACGAGGAAGUGUUUGUUUCAGCGCAGCAGUGGGGGUCAGCUGGGGAUUCUGAGCAGUGUCCCCUCUGAGGUCCACUGGGGACCCCUGCAGCCUGGGUCUGUGGGGGUGACAGCACCCAGUGUCGGGGUGUGACGGAGGCAGGAUGGUGUGUGAAUUUUUCCUCCUCUCCUCCAUCUGGUUCGUGGUGGUUAUAUUUUGGAUGGAAACGAUCAGUAUGUGGCUUUUUCUAUGCCAUCUAUUCCAGGACCGAGCCAUGUACCAGUGGGGAGACAGGAUUUACGUCUCCCAUCCUGACCAGAUCAUGUACGUAAUUAUUAGAGUUGAUUCGCUCAGGUAGCCCCGCAGUGAAGCUGGAUGAAUAGAAGGAGCAUAAAGGGAAAUUUAUGGACGUUUUCACUCACAUCAAAAAGGGAAAAGAUGCAAUUUUUAAUCCGUAUUUUGUAGAUUUGUUUUUAUAAUGACUGUAAACAGACUGGAGCUCCUCGCAGUGAUGCGGUACGCCUUGGAAAAGGGAACUCUGACAUCUCUGAGCAGGAAAGGGUCACCCCUAUGACAUGUCAUCUUGGGAUCUGAUAGACAUCAGAAUCUUCAUUGUUUGGACACUUAUCGAUGUCCAGGGAUUGAGACCUGUUCAGAUGUGGCCUCAUUUUUGUUACAGAAUGUGCACAUGAAUCAAGCUUAUUGUCUUUACGCAAAUUCCAAUCUGUUUCAGUAUUUCUAUAUUUUGAAAAUAAAUCUUAUUUUCAAU
Molecule: long non-coding RNA, 767 nt
Organism: Nanorana parkeri
Lineage: Eukaryota; Metazoa; Chordata; Amphibia; Anura; Dicroglossidae
Exons: 4
Source: RefSeq, a predicted model, not a curated record